Prionailurus viverrinus (fishing cat) is the source of this 1689-nucleotide RNA transcript. RefSeq lists it as uncharacterized. The transcript has 4 exons. NCBI's taxonomy places the organism in Eukaryota, Metazoa, Chordata, Mammalia, Carnivora, Felidae. The record is from RefSeq and is a predicted model, not a curated record.
AACAGUUCGGCCCCUAUGGGGUCUAUGUAGGCUGAAUGAAGGCAUUCUUUAUAACCCAGCGACUCCACUCCUGGGAACAUCCCCAGCAGAAACAAGUCCUGUGAUCAUCGGAAGACAUGCACUAGAAUGUUCACAGCAGAAUUAUUCAUCUGGGCUGUAACUGGAAACUACCAAAUGCCUGUCUCGGUAAAUUGCAAAACCAGCCACAAUCCUUUGCAGUCCAUCCCAUGAAGAAGCAGAGUCAAUUUCCUUUCCCCUGGAACCUGGCCUGGUCUUGCAGCUUGUUGUGGCCAAUAGGACACGGCAGAAGUGAUGCGCGCUGGUUCCAAGACUUCGAGAGGUAUUGCACGCUCCCCUUUGCUCUCCGGGAACUCCGCAGUCACCGUGUGAGAAGUCCCGGCUGCCGGGCUGGAGGAUGGGUGAGCUUCCCCAGCUGGCGUCUUCCUCGACCAGCCAGCCCCAGCCACACGGAUGCAGACACGCGAGCGAGCCCAGCCGACAUCAGCCCAGCUCAGCCCGGCCCAGAAGAACCUCCUAGAUGACGCCCGUCCACAUCUACCAGCUGACGCACGUGCUAAGUAAAUGGCUGUUGUUUUAAGGCACUAAGCUUUGGGGAGCUUUGUUACCCAGCAAUAGCUAAUUGAUACAUCAUCAAGAGUAAAACGGUUACAUUGUGGGAUGUCAUGUUCCCGGAAAGCAGCUCAUUACAGCAGAGGGCGUACAGAAGUAGGUGAACGGGAUCUAUGGUGAGAGAGCCCAUGGGAUUGCAUCUCACGCGGAGGACGGUGUGUAAGGGGAACAUCACAAACAGCCAAUACGCCCUGGAAAAUUCCUUGGGAAGCUGUCAUGUGGGGGCCAACUGCUAUCUCUCCAUAAAUCCGGUACGGCCAGUUUUUCCACCCGAGUUGGGACAGAUCACUAUUUCUCCUGUCAGGCUCCAGACGAAGCAGAGGUUUGUGUGUAGGGGUCACACAGCGAGCCGCAGUAGGCGUUGGACAGAGGCAGGGGCUGGCGCUGUGCAAGAGGGCUGUGAUCACCAGGUCCGGGAAGGAGGGAUUGUCUGCAAUAAAGACGGGCGACCAUGCUCUGCAAGGUGGAACCCCGGGGUGCCGGCAAGGUGCUUAUGGCUUGAGGGUGGGGUAAGGAUGCAGCUUCUCCAGCAGGCUGGCUCUCUCCUUAGCCUCGACAUUCCUUCCUGAACUUGUAGAGUGUCCCGAACCUGGCUGGAGAGUGGAUGGUUCCAGGUACCGCAGGUGGACCCAGCUGGGCUGGCCCUCGGGAGGGCGAGAGACCACGUGGAGCGGACGUCGGACAGCCCCCGUCAAGACAUCAAGAUCACUGAAGCCACCCAGAGAUGCCUAUGUGAGCCUGGGGAAGACCCGCCUAGCUGACCUGCAGAUGCAGGAGAAAUCCUAAAUGCCUACCGUUCGAAGCUCUUGGGUUUUGUGGUGGCUUGUUACGCAGCAGUAGCUAACCGAUACAGAUCGUGAUACCCAGUGCUGGUGAUGGUGUGAGUGAAUAGGUUUCCUCACGCAGAGCCAGCGGGAGGGCGGUUUGCUACAAUUUUGCGUAUCCAUUGAAGUAACUAAAAGAUGAAAAGCACUAUACUUUCUUUUUUUUUUUUUUUAUUUAAAAAAAAAUUUUUUUUUUCAACGUUUAUUUAUUUUUGGGACAGAGAGAGACAGAGCA